AGCAGCCGCGGUAAUUCCAGCUCCAAUAGCGUAUAUUAAAGUUGUUGCAGUUAAAAAGCUCGUAGUUGAAUUUCGGGGUCAGUAGUUUGGUCGUGCCAACGGUAUGUACUGGGCUCACUGAUUCCUCCUUCCUGAUGAACUGUAAUGCCAUUAAUUUGGUGUUGCAGGGAAACUGGACUGUUACUUUGAAAAAAUUAGAGUGUUUAAAGCAAGCUAACGCUUGAAUACAUUAGCAUGGAAUAAUGAAAUAGGACGUUCGAUCCUAUUUUGUUGGUUUCUAGGAUUGACGUAAUGAUUAAUAGGGAUAGUUGGGGGCAUUAGUAUUCAAUUGUCAGAGGUGAAAUUCUUGGAUUUAUUGAAGACUAACUACUGCGAAAGCAUUUGCCAAGGAUGUUUUCAUUAAUCAAGAACGAAAGUUAGGGGAUCGAAGACGAUCAGAUACCGUCGUAGUCUUAACCAUAAACUAUGCCGACUAGGGAUCGGAUGAUGUUAAUUUUUAAUGACUCAUUCGGCGCCUUAC
This 520-nucleotide ribosomal RNA is filed under the name uncultured Glomus. RNAcentral's name for it is "SSU rRNA". It matches the Rfam family "Eukaryotic small subunit ribosomal RNA", at positions 569 to 1091 of the family's 1831-position model. The record is from RNAcentral. Lineage: Eukaryota; Fungi; Glomeromycota; Glomeromycetes; Glomerales; Glomeraceae.